CCUCUUCCACCUGCUGCGGGCAGAUGAAGUGGAUGUGCGCGUCCACGCCGCCUGCGGUGAGAAUGCGCCCUUCACCCGCGAUGAUCUCCGUCCCCGGCCCGAUCACGAUGUCGACGCCGGGCUGCACAUCGGGAUUGCCAGCCUUGCCGAUCGCAGCGAUCCGCCCGUCGCGCAAGGCGAUGUCGGCCUUGUAGAUACCGCUCCAGUCAAGCACCACGGCGUUGGUGAUGACGGUAUCGGCAGCGCCCGCCGCGCGGGUUGCCUGGCUUUGGCCCAUCCCGUCGCGG
RNAcentral lists this small RNA (287 nucleotides) under Novosphingobium sp. Leaf2. RNAcentral's name for it is "5' ureB small RNA". It matches the Rfam family "5' ureB small RNA". The record is from Rfam by way of RNAcentral. Lineage: Bacteria; Pseudomonadati; Pseudomonadota; Alphaproteobacteria; Sphingomonadales; Sphingomonadaceae.